UGGACUUAUGGGACGAACAUAAGAACACUCGAAACUAAGGGUAGAUGUGAACCUAACGGUAUACCUGAAGUUUUGAUUACCACUUGAUGAGAACAAGGGUGGCCCGAUCUUCCGAAAGGUUCUGGUAACUCUUGAUUUGGUGGAGACGAGACACAAAUCGAUCCGGUUUUCGAACAACACGAUCCGAAUCCCUGUAAUUUUUUUGUUAUUUUUUUGAUAUUUUUCUGUAACUUAGGAGCACUAAAGAAGUAACCACAGAAAAUUUGAGCUUAAACAAGUGAAAGACGUGGCAUGUGGAAUUUUCUGAAGAUUGCGAAAAAUGUGAAAAAACAUCACUAGGUGAAAACUCAAACUUUGAAGGCAAAUUUGGAGACUCUAAAAUUUUCAAAACCGGUAAAGGCAUGGAUAGACGGAUCCAAAAAUUUUUUGAUCAAUUUUGAUAUAUGGAAUGUUGAAAUCGGAGUUCGUAUGUGAAAGUUAUAGCUGUUUUACGAACGGACUCUAAAUUAGAGGACAAAACGGUUCGAAAGUGGAAAAAAUUUGCAGCGGUGGCUAAAAAUUGAUGGAAACGGUGAGGAAAACCACACGAACUGGACUCGAACAAGACCUAACCAGAAACAAGACCUCGACAAGGACACAAACUCAACAAUGCAGACUCUAAAACUGAAAUAUGCAAAGGCUAUGGCGCGAAAGGGUUGUAAGACAGGAAAACGAUAUGUCAUUGGACUUAUGGGACGAACACAAGAACACCCGAAACUAAGGGUAGAUAUGAAUCUAACGGUAUACCUCAACCUUUGAUUACCACUUGAUGAGAACAUGGGUGGUCCACUCUUCCGAAAGGUUCUGGUAACUCUCGAUUUGGUGGAGACGAGGCACAAAUCGAUCCGGCUUCCGAACAACACGAUCCGAAACCCUACAAUUUUUUUUAUUUUUUUGAUAUUUUUCUUUUGCUUAGGAGCACUAAAGAAGUAACCUUAGAAAUUUGAGCUUAAACAAGUGAAAGACGUGACCUGCGGAAUUUUCUGAAGAUUGAGAAAAAUAUGAAAAAAACUUCACGAGAUGAAAACUCAAUCUUCGGAUGCGAAUUUGGAGAUUUUAAAAUUUUCAAACCCGCCAAGCGCAGCGACAGACAGACCCAAAAUGUUUUCUGAUCGAUUUUGAUAUAUGGAACGUUGAAAUCGGAGUUCGUAUGCGAACGUUAUGGCUGUUUUAAGAACGGACUCCGAAUUAGAGGACAAAACGGUGCGAAAGUGGGGAAAAUUUGCGGCGGUGGCUAUAAAUUGAUGGAAACGGUAAGGAAAUACACAUGAACUGGACUUGGAAACAACAUUGUGGACUCUGAAACUGAAAUAUACAAAGGCUAUGGCGCGGAAGGGUUGUAGGACAGGAAAAUGAUAUGACACUGGACAUAUGGGACGAACACAAGAACACUCGAAACUAAGGGUAGAUGUGAACCUAACGGUAUAAUUGAAUCUUUGAUUACCACUUGAUGAGAACAAGAGUAGCCCGAUCUUCCAAAAGGUUCUGGUAACUCGAUUUGGUGGAGACGAGACAAACCGAUCCGGCUUCCGAACAACACGAUCCGAAACCCAGCAAUUUUUCUUAUUUUUUUUAAUAUUUUUCUUUUACUUAGGAGCACUAAAGACGUAACCACAGAAAAUUUGAGCUUAAACAAGUGAAAGACGUGGCCCGCGGAAUUUUCUGAAGAUUGAGAAAAAUGUGAAAAAAACUUCACGACGUGAAAACUCAAUCUUUGGAGGUGAAUUUGGAGAUUUUAAAAUUUUCAAACCCGCCAAGCGCAGGGACAAAUAGAUCUGAAUUUUUUUUCGAUCGAUUUUGAUAUAUGGAACGUUGAAUUCGGAGUUCGUAUGCGAAAGUUAUGGCUUUUUUACGAACGGACUCCGAAUCAGAGGACAAAACGAUGCGAAAGUGGGGAAAAUUUGUAGCGGUGGCUAGAAAUUGAUGGAAACGGUGAGGAAAUACACACGAAGUUGACUCCACAAACAACACUGCGGACUCUGAAACUGUAAUAUGCAAAGACUAUGGUGCGGAAGGGUUGUAUGACAGGAAAACGAUAUGGCACUAGACAUAUGGGACGAACAUAAGGACACUCGAAACUAAGGGUAGAUGUGAACCUAACGGUAUACCUGAAGCUUUGAUUACCACUUCAUGAGAAAAAGGGUGGACCGAUCUUUCGAAAGGUUCUGGUAACUCGAUUUGGUAGAGACGAGACAAAAACCGAUCCGGCUUCCGGACUACACGAUCCGAAACCCUACAAUUUUUUUUAUUAUUUUUUAUAAUUUCAUUUUACAUAGCAGCACUAAAGAAGUAACCACAGAAAAUUUAAGCUUAAAUAAGUGAAAGACGUGGCCUGCGGAAUUUUCUGAAGAUUGUGAAAAAUGUG
Molecule: long non-coding RNA, 2404 nt
Filed under: Sorghum bicolor (sorghum)
Lineage: Eukaryota; Viridiplantae; Streptophyta; Magnoliopsida; Poales; Poaceae
Description: long non-coding RNA (SBIC_LNC004806)
Source: RNAcentral